GACUGGGUGGCCGAGCGGUUAAGGCGAUAGCCUGCUAAGCUAUUAUACUCUGUAUGCGUGGGUUCAAUUCCCAUCUCAGUCG
Molecule: non-coding RNA, 82 nt
Organism: Spironucleus salmonicida
Lineage: Eukaryota; Fornicata; Diplomonadida; Hexamitidae
Source: Rfam